Molecule: non-coding RNA, 118 nt
Organism: Sturnus vulgaris (Common starling)
Lineage: Eukaryota; Metazoa; Chordata; Aves; Passeriformes; Sturnidae
Source: RefSeq, a predicted model, not a curated record
AGCAGCUCCUGGAAUUUCCCUGCCCAGCGGAUCCCCCGGCCCUUCCCUGCCCCUGGAGCUGGAGGAGCUGCAGGAGACCGAGAUCAGCUUUUGAAUCGGCGCCGAUGGAAUCCCAAAA